UACAGAGGUCCCAAGCGUUACUGAGAAUCACUGGGUUUAAAGGGUGCGUAGGUGGUCCGUUAAGUCAGUUGUGAAAUCCCCGGGCUCAACCCGGGAACUGCUUCUGAUACUGGCGGACUUGAGGCCAGUAGGGGUCACUAGAACUGACGGUGGAGCGGUGAAAUGCGUAGAUAUCGUCAGGAAUGCCGGUGGUGAAGACGGGUGACUGGGCUGGUUCUGACACUGAGGCACGACAGCGUGGGGAUCAAACAGG
Molecule: ribosomal RNA, 253 nt
Filed under: uncultured bacterium
Lineage: Bacteria
Description: partial 16S ribosomal RNA
Rfam family: Bacterial small subunit ribosomal RNA
Source: RNAcentral